RNAcentral lists this ribosomal RNA (551 nucleotides) under uncultured Glomeromycotina. RNAcentral describes it as "SSU rRNA". It matches the Rfam family "Eukaryotic small subunit ribosomal RNA", at positions 548 to 1098 of the family's 1831-position model. The record is from RNAcentral. Lineage: Eukaryota; Fungi; Glomeromycota.
UUGGAGGGCAAGUCUGGUGCCAGCAGCCGCGGUAAUUCCAGCUCCAAUAGCGUAUAUUAAAGUUGUUGCAGUUAAAAAGCUCGUAGUUGAACUUCGGGGUCUACCCAUUGGUCAGGCUUAAUUGUCUGUACUGGUGAGAUGAAUCUCUACCUUCUGAGGAACUUUCAUGCCAUUUAUUUGGUGUGAUGGGAAAUCAGGACUGUUACUUUGAAAAAAUUAGAGUGUUUAAAGCAGGCUAACGUCUGAAUACAUUAGCAUGGAAUAAUGAAAUAGGACGGACUGAUUCUAUUUCGUUGGUUUCUAGGAUCACCGUAAUGAUUAAUAGGGAUAGUUGGGGGCAUUAGUAUUCAAUUGUCAGAGGUGAAAUUCUUGGAUUUAUUGAAGACUAACUACUGCGAAAGCAUUUGCCAAGGAUGUUUUCAUUAAUCAAGAACGAAAGUUAGGGGAUCGAAGACGAUCAGAUACCGUCGUAGUCUUAACCAUAAACUAUGCCGACUAGGGAUCGGACGAAGUUAAUUUUAUAAUGACGCGUUCGGCGCCUUACGGGAAAC